This 504-nucleotide ribosomal RNA is filed under the name soil fungal sp. DM2-443. Its description in RNAcentral is "eukaryotic LSU rRNA". It matches the Rfam family "Eukaryotic large subunit ribosomal RNA", at positions 102 to 609 of the family's 3401-position model. The record is from RNAcentral. Lineage: Eukaryota; Fungi.
CAAGAGCUCAAAUUUGAAAGCUGGCCCCCUCGGGGUCCGCAUUGUAAUUUGUAGAGGAUGCUUCGGGAGCGGUCCCCAUCUAAGUGCCCUGGAACGGGCCGUCAUAGAGGGUGAGAAUCCCGUAUGGGAUGGGGUGCCCGCGCCCGUGUGAAGCUCCUUCGACGAGUCGAGUUGUUUGGGAAUGCAGCUCUAAUUGGGUGGUAAAUUUCAUCUAAAGCUAAAUAUUGGCCGGAGACCGAUAGCGCACAAGUAGAGUGAUCGAAAGAUGAAAAGCACUUUGAAAAGAGAGUUAAACAGCACGUGAAAUUGUUGAAAGGGAAGCGCUUGCGAUCAGACUCGCUCGCGGGGUUCAGCCGGCCUUCGGGCCGGUGUACUUCCCCGCGGGCGGGCCAGCGUCGGUUUGGGCGGCCGGUCAAAGGCCCCUGGAAUGUAACGCCUCUCGGGGCGUCUUAUANCCAGGGGUGCCAUGCGGCCUGCCCGGACCGAGGAACGCGCUUCGGCUCG